RNAcentral lists this ribosomal RNA (903 nucleotides) under uncultured bacterium. Its description in RNAcentral is "bacterial SSU rRNA". It matches the Rfam family "Bacterial small subunit ribosomal RNA", at positions 8 to 916 of the family's 1533-position model. The record is from RNAcentral.
AGAGUUUGAUCAUGGCUCAGGAUGAACGCUAGCGGCAGGCUUAACACAUGCAAGUCGAGGGGUAAAAGGAGCUUGCUCCUUUGAGACCGGCGCACGGGUGCGUAACGCGUAUGCAAUCUACCUUGUACAGGGGGAUAGCCCAGAGAAAUUUGGAUUAAUACCCCAUAGUGUAACGAAAAGGCAUCUUUUUGUUACUAAAGUUCCAACGGUACAAGAUGAGCAUGCGUCCCAUUAGCUAGUUGGUGUGGUAACGGCAUACCAAGGCAACGAUGGGUAGGGGUCCUGAGAGGGAGAUCCCCCACACUGGUACUGAGACACGGACCAGACUCCUACGGGAGGCAGCAGUGAGGAGUAUUGGUCAAUGGGCGCAAGCCUGAACCAGCCAUGCCGCGUGCAGGAUGACGGUCCUAUGGAUUGUAAACUGCUUUUGUACAGGAAGAAACACUCCCUCGUGAGGGAGCUUGACGGUACUGUAAGAAUAAGGAUCGGCUAACUCCGUGCCAGCAGCCGCGGUAAUACGGAGGAUCCAAGCGUUAUCCGGAAUCAUUGGGUUUAAAGGGUCCGUAGGCGGUUUUAUAAGUCAGUGGUGAAAUCUGGUCGCUCAACGAUCAAACGGCCAUUGAUACUGUAGAACUUGAAUUACUUGGAAGUAACUAGAAUAUGUAGUGUAGCGGUGAAAUGCUUAGAGAUUACAUGGAAUACCAAUUGCGAAGGCAGGUUACUACGAGUAUAUUGACGCUGAUGGACGAAAGCGUGGGGAGCGAACAGGAUUAGAUACCCUGGUAGUCCACGCCGUAAGCGAUGGAUACUAGCUGUUUGGAGCAAUCUGAGUGGCUAAGCGAAAGUGAUAAGUAUCCCACCUGGGGAGUACGCUCGCAAGAGUGAAACUCAAGGAAUUGACGG